This 406-nucleotide ribosomal RNA is filed under the name uncultured bacterium. RNAcentral describes it as "partial 16S ribosomal RNA". It matches the Rfam family "Bacterial small subunit ribosomal RNA", at positions 29 to 526 of the family's 1533-position model. The record is from RNAcentral.
AUUGAACGCUGGCGGCAGGCCUAACACAUGCAAGUCGAACGAGUGGCGGAAGGGUGAGUAAUGUCUGGGAAACUGCCCGAUGGAGGGGGAUAACUACUGGAAACGGUAGCUAAUACCGCAUACCAUCGGAUGUGCCAAGAGGGGAUUAGCUUGUAGGUGAGGUAACGGAUCACCUAGGCGACGAUCACUAGCUGGUCUGAGAGGAUGACGAGCUACACGUGAAAUGAGACACGGUGCAGACGCCUACGGGAGGCAGCAGUUGUGAAUAUUGCGCAAUGGGGGCAAGACGGAUGCAGCCAUGCCGCGUGUAGGAAGCAGGCCUUCGGGUUGUAAAGUACUUUCCGCGGGGAGACGUUACCCGCAGAAGAAGCACCGGCGAACUCCGUGCCAGCAGCCGCGGUAAUUC